This 217-nucleotide unclassified non-coding RNA is filed under the name plant metagenome. Its description in RNAcentral is "partial contains small subunit ribosomal RNA, internal transcribed spacer 1, and 5.8S ribosomal RNA". The record is from RNAcentral.
UCUCCGUAGGUGAACCUGCGGAGGGAUCAUUACAAGUGACCCCGGUCUUACCACCGGGAUGUUCAUAACCCUUUGUUGUCCGACUCUGUUGCCUCCGGGGCGACCCUGCCUUCGGGCGGGGGCUCCGGGUGGACACUUCAAAUUCUUGCGUAACUUUGCAGUCUGAGUAAACUUAAUUAAUAAAUUAAAACUUUUAACAACGGAUCUCUUGGUUCUG